AUUUAUGUAGUUUAGAGAAAACAUUACAUUUUCAAUGUAAAAACAAUUAAGAUUCAUAAAUA
This 62-nucleotide transfer RNA is filed under the name Tenebrionoidea sp. 11 KM-2017. Its description in RNAcentral is "tRNA-Glu". It matches the Rfam family "tRNA". Rfam says of the family: Transfer RNA (tRNA) molecules are approximately 80 nucleotides in length. Their secondary structure includes four short double-helical elements and three loops (D, anti-codon, and T loops). Further hydrogen bonds mediate the characteristic L-shaped molecular structure. tRNAs have two regions of fundamental functional importance: the anti-codon, which is responsible for specific mRNA codon recognition, and the 3' end, to which the tRNAs corresponding amino acid is attached (by aminoacyl-tRNA synthetases). tRNAs cope with the degeneracy of the genetic code in two manners: having more than one tRNA (with a specific anti-codon) for a particular amino acid; and 'wobble' base-pairing, i.e. permitting non-standard base-pairing at the 3rd anti-codon position. The record is from RNAcentral. Lineage: Eukaryota; Metazoa; Arthropoda; Insecta; Coleoptera.